CACUUCUCAAUUAGUCCCUUGAUUUGCUCACUUAGCUUCAUCUUUGUUGUGAGUACCCAACUUCAAGGCACCCUCACUUCUCCCCUGGAUCCUGGAUCAUCAAGAGCAGCCCACUGUUGGUCUCUGGGCUCCCAUGAGUCUCCAUGGAGACUUGCCCAUCCAGUCUCCACACGCACAUCUUACUAAAAUGGAAAUCCGAUCAUGUCACUCUCUGCUUACAACCCCCUAAGGACAAACACCUUGAGAAAGUAUAAAGAUGCUUCAUUAUCUGAAAAUCUGCUUGUAUCUCUAGCCUUAUCUCUUGUAAUUCUGUUCCCACACACGCUGUGUAAUUAAGAAAUGCUAAAUGCUCUUGCAGUUUCCAGAAUGCACCACAUUCUCUUACCUCUGGUACUUUGCACAUGCUUCUGAUUGUACCAACUGAAUGCGCUGCCCUCACUCAUUUUUACCAGAGUCUCUCUCUGUCUCUGUCUCUGUGUCUCUGAAAUCUCAGUUUAGCUGUUACUUCUGGGAAGCCCUCCUGGACCCUCCAAACCUGAGAGAGGUGUUCCUCCUCAGGCUACCAAAAUGUCCAUCCACCUUUUGUGAUGUCACCUAUCACUCUGAAUCAUAAUUUGCUGGUGCCUCAUCAUUCUCUUUCAACUGGCUGUCUCUGAUCAGGCCUCCCAUGGUUUCAAGGUCCCCAUGGCUCCCACACUCUAGCUAUGAUCGUGCCCUCAGGUGGAGCUCUGUGGUUGUACGGACCACAACUACAGGUUGGCACCACUGCCACUAGGCCUUCUCUACAGAGGACUCUGGGGGAGUGGAUCCUAGCUGGCCCUGAGAGUGGCCUGCCUCUGGAGGGUGCUUCCUCUUUCCCUAGCUCCACCUGCAUGCUCACCAUGUGGGCACCCUGACACCCUCUUCCCAGCACAUCUCGUUCUUCUUUGGCCACCUUUGAUGCUUCCUCCUCAAUCCCCACCAACGCUCUCUGGGGCCAGCUCUGCCUUCUGGGCAGAGGGGUCCUUGCCCUUCUCUGCCAUCUGGUCUAUUUUCAGAGGGCAAGUGCUUUUCCUUUGCAUGAAUCAAAAAAAGGAACCCCCAUUGGAGCAAAUCAGCCUUUCAGGCUGUGUUUUAGCCUCAUUCUUCCUCCUGGAAUUCAUAAACUACACAAACAUAUGCCUUCUUGUCUAAUAUGUUGGGAUUAACAUCCCUGUUUUAUAAUUGAACAACUCAAGGUUCAGAGAAGAUAAAAUGAGGCUGGAAUGUCACCUCAGGGAUGUAGGAUCUCUGGACUCUGGCCUCAAAAGGCAGGUGCUUCCUAGCCAGCUCCCUGGUCUCCUCCCUCCAGCACUUGGUCCUAAUCCCAGCUGGUUGCUGGCUACCUACAGUGUUCUCUGUGCCUCUUCCAAAGGGUAAGCAUAUGUCCUAGCUGGAGGAUUGCAGAAGGGCUCCUGCUGUGGUACCUAACCAGGCAGGGCCCCUCUCUCAUCUGGGGAUGGAAAACUGUUCUCAAUUCAUCCUCAGGUUAGUGGCACCUUUUCCCAGUGUAGACAAAGCUAGUCCCUGCUAAGCAGACCAGCCUGCCCAACCCCAAUUCCUAUGGAUACCCCCUCUGCCUGACAACUCAGCCCUUGUUGCUAUUUCUUGCUUAUGCAUCGUCAGCAGGACCCAAAAUAGUGGUUCCAGAAGUCAAUCUCUAAAUCAACAUCCAGGCCUAUGUGUGUGAGCAGCCUGUCUCCACUAGCUGGGCUACAGUGCCCAGAAUCUAGGACAGAGCCACACCCUGGGGCUUGAGUUUCAGUAGGUCACCUUCUCGGAGCUCUGAGGUUCGGGCUCAGAAUCUGGGGCUGUAGGGAGAAGAGAGAGGAAAGCCCUGAGAAGGCACAGGGUAGGAAGGCUUUGGCCAAAGGUCCCCCAGAGCAUCUGAGGAAACCGAGGUUGAGCUUGAGACUGGCAUCCCCAUCAGGAAGACUUCCUGCCUGCCAUGCUUGCCCUGGGAAGUCUGUGAUGAUGUGUCUGCUCCCCUUCUUCUCUAGAGUGGUCUCACGAAAGAAGUGGGGAUGGUGUUAAGAGCACGACUUUGGAGCCAGACUACCUGGAUUCAAAUCUUACCUCUGCCCUUUACCUGAGGUGUGUGACCUCAGUUAAUUUCCCUGUAACUCAGUUUCCUCAUCUGUAACAUGAGAGUAAUGGUAGCCCAACAUAGAGGAUUUUUUUUUUCAACAUAGAGGAUUGAUGUAAUGAUUACAUGGGCAAUAGAAGAGGGGCUUUGUGCAACAUGUGGAAUGCUCCCCAAAAUGAGGACUGUGAUUAUUAUCACAGGACAUAGUACGUGGGCCCCUGACAUCCUCUGCCGCACAGAGCCCCAUCUUGGACUAAAAGGUGGCUGUGCUCUGAGUGUUGAACAAAUGAUUAAAAAUUAUCUGACCUAAAUGCAACAUAGCAUUUUGGAUUAGAUUCUGCAACAGAAGAAGGAUGUUAAGUAGAAAAACUGGCGCAAUCUGAAAAAAGUUUGUGGGUUAGUCAAUAAUGUGACACUAAUUUUAAUUUCUUUGAUAAAUAAACCAUGGUUAUGUAAGAGACUGAUGUUAGAGGAAGCAGGGUGGUGGGUAUACAAGAAAUGUCUCUAUUAUCUUUAUAACUCUGUAAAUGUAAAAUUAUUUCAAAAUAAAGGGUUAAAAAAACUUGCUGACAAUUAAGGGCUGCUUUGUAUAUGCCAAGGGCUAUGUUAAGUGCUUUAGACACACCAUUUCCCCCCCAGUUUUAUUUCUUUAGAAAAAAACACAAAUUAAACAUAGCAAAAUG
This 2787-nucleotide long non-coding RNA is filed under the name Canis lupus familiaris (dog). RNAcentral's name for it is "lncRNA (ENSCAFG00805004348.1, ENSCAFG00845010037.1)". The record is from RNAcentral. Lineage: Eukaryota; Metazoa; Chordata; Mammalia; Carnivora; Canidae.